Molecule: microRNA precursor, 91 nt
Filed under: Podarcis lilfordi (Lilford's wall lizard)
Lineage: Eukaryota; Metazoa; Chordata; Lepidosauria; Squamata; Lacertidae
Source: RNAcentral
UGUGUGUGUGUGUGUGUGUGUGUGUGUGUGUGUGUGAAAGCUUACAGCUUGCAAUCGUAAGCGCGCGCGCACACACACGCACACACACAAU